UCUGACGGAGCGACGCCGCGUGGAUGAAGAAGGCUGAAAAGUUGUAAAAUCCUCUUGUUGAUGAAGAAUAAGGGGAAGAGGGAAUGCUUCUCUGAUGACGGUAGUCGGUGAAUAAGCCCCGGCUAAUUACGUGCCAGCAGCCGCGGUAACACGUAAGGGGCGAGCGUUGUUCGGAAUUAUUGGGCGUAAAGGGCAUGUAGGCGGUUAUGUAAGCCUGAUGUGAAAUCCUGGGGCUUAACCCCAGAAUAGCAUUGGGUACUGUGUAACUUGAAUUACGGAAGGGAAACUGGAAUUCCAAGUGUAGGGGUGGAAUCUGUAGAUAUUUGGAAGAACACCGGUGGCGAAGGCGGGUUUCUGGCCGAUAAUUGACGCUGAGAUGCGAAAGUGUGGGGAUCUAACAGGAUUAGAUACCCUGGUAGUCCACACCGUAAACGAUGUACACUAGGUGUUGGGGCAAGAGCUUCAGUGCCAAAGCAAACGCGAUAAGUGUACCGCCUGGGG
RNAcentral lists this ribosomal RNA (501 nucleotides) under Treponema sp. oral taxon 237. RNAcentral's name for it is "bacterial SSU rRNA". It matches the Rfam family "Bacterial small subunit ribosomal RNA", at positions 382 to 878 of the family's 1533-position model. Lineage: Bacteria; Pseudomonadati; Spirochaetota; Spirochaetia; Treponematales; Treponemataceae. The record is from RNAcentral.